UUAUUUUUUGGUUUGUGAUAAAUUCGAGUUUUAAUUAGUUUGAUUUUGAUUUUGUUUUUGUGUUGUUAGGAUUGGGAAGACUUCGUUGAUGAAUCUGUAUCCUUUUGAUUGAAUAGAUCUGUGAUGUUAAUUUUUUGUUUGAUUUGUGUUUUGUUGAGGUUUGUUGAUGAAUAUGUUGUAGAUCGUGGUUUGUUAGUUUAAGUAGUCGAGAAUUUGAGUUCUCGACAGUUGCUUGGCUUGAGUUUGUUUGAAUUUUGGUUAGAGGUUGAUAUCGAGGUUGCGUGGCUCAGAUACAGGGAGAUGACAGAAGUAUAUUUCCUUCACUUUAAUUUUGUGUCUUGAUUUGUCCAAACAAGCAUGUCACCAGCAUUAGGUGUUUGCUCAACUUUACCAUGCAUUAUCACUUCAUCAUACAACUGAAACAGAACACUAUGAGUAUUAUUCCAUGUGCUAUACUGCUAUUUAUAUUCCUUGUUUUAUUGCUUACUUUUAUGUCCUAAGUGCUCAAGUCUAUGUUUGCCUAAAUAUUUAGGUUGUACUCCCUCCGUCCCAUUUUAACUGCUUUUGACUUUUUUACACGUAUUUUAAGAUGUUAAAAAAAUCACAUCUUGACAUAAUUAUUCUUUAUAAAAUUUAUAUCAAAUAAAAGUUUAGAAUCUAAACUUUUAUUUGAUAUAAGAAUUGAAUUUUUUUAUUGAGUAUAGAUAUUGUUUUUUCACAUCUC
Molecule: long non-coding RNA, 724 nt
Filed under: Daucus carota (carrot)
Lineage: Eukaryota; Viridiplantae; Streptophyta; Magnoliopsida; Apiales; Apiaceae
Description: long non-coding RNA (DCAR_LNC006821)
Source: RNAcentral